Molecule: ribosomal RNA, 300 nt
Filed under: uncultured bacterium
Lineage: Bacteria
Description: bacterial SSU rRNA
Rfam family: Bacterial small subunit ribosomal RNA
Source: RNAcentral
CACGUAAGAAUUUGCCUCUAGGAGGGGACGAACGAGCUGGAAACGGACGUGCUAAUACCCCACUAUGCUUUCGAGUGAAAUGGAUUUAUCCGCCUACGAGAGAAGCUUGCGGCUGAUUAGCUUGUUGGUGGGGUAAGUGGCCUACCAAGGCGACGAUCAGUAUCUGGUUUGAGAGGAUGAUCAGACACACUGGGACUGAGACACGGCCCAGACUCCUACGGGAGGCAGCAGUGGGGAAGUAUUGCACAAUGGGCGAAAGCCUGAUGCAGCCAUGCCGCGUGUGUGAAGAAGGCCUCGGUU